GACGAACGCUGGCGGCGUGCCUAAUACAUGCAAGUCGAACGCUGAAGGAGGAGCUUGCUUCUCUGGAUGAGUUGCGAACGGGUGAGUAACGCGUAGGUAACCUGCCUGGUAGCGGGGGAUAACUAUUGGAAACGAUAGCUAAUACCGCAUAAUAGUAGAUGUUGCAUGACAUUUGCUUAAAAGGUGCAAUUGCAUCACUACCAGAUGGACCUGCGUUGUAUUAGCCAGUUGGUGGGGUAACGGCUCACCAAGGCGACGAUACAUAGCCGACCUGAGAGGGUGAUCGGCCACACUGGGACUGAGACACGGCCCAGACUCCUACGGGAGGCAGCAGUAGGGAAUCUUCGGCAAUGGACGGAAGUCUGACCGAGCAACGCCGCGGGAGUGAAGAAGGUUUUCGGAUCGUAAAGCUCUGUUGUAAGAGAAGAACGAGUGUGAGAGUGGAAAGUUCACACUGUGACGGUAUCUUACCAGAAAGGGACGGCUAACUACGUG
RNAcentral lists this ribosomal RNA (495 nucleotides) under uncultured bacterium. RNAcentral's name for it is "partial 16S ribosomal RNA". It matches the Rfam family "Bacterial small subunit ribosomal RNA", at positions 28 to 507 of the family's 1533-position model. The record is from RNAcentral.